GACGAACGCUGGCGGCGUGCUUAACACAUGCAAGUCGAGCGGUAAGGCCUCUUCGGGGGUACACGAGCGGCGAACGGGGGAGUAACACGUGGGUGACCUGCCCUCAGCUCUGGGAUAAGCACGGGAAACUGGGUCUAAUACCGGAUAUGACCUUUCCUCGCAUGGGGUUUGGUGGAAAGUUUUUUCGGCUUGGGAUGGGCCGGCGGCCUCUCAGCAUGGUGGUGGGGUGAUGUCCUACCAAGGCGACGACGGGUCGCCGGGCUGAGAGGCCGACCGGCCACACUGGGACUGAGGCACGGCCCAGACUCCUUCGGGAGGCAGCGGUGGGGAAUAUUGCGCAAGCGGCGGAAGUCUGACGCAGCGACGCCGCGUGGGGGAUGACUGCCUUCGGGUUGCAAACCUCUUUCGACCCCGACGAAUUUGGACGGUAGCGGUAGAAGAAGCCCCGGCCAACUACGUG
This 460-nucleotide ribosomal RNA is filed under the name uncultured bacterium. RNAcentral describes it as "partial 16S ribosomal RNA". It matches the Rfam family "Bacterial small subunit ribosomal RNA", at positions 28 to 507 of the family's 1533-position model. The record is from RNAcentral.